UUGAAACCUGCUCCAAAGUGAGCACAUCUAUUUGAUUUCGUCUCGUUUUUAUUUAUUUAUUUUUUUGUGCAAGUAUAAACACAUUUAUUUAUUUUUGGUUUUAUCAAGGUCAUAGUCAUUCUAUAUAAACUCUUGUAUUUGUUGGUUUUUUUUAGCAUCUUUAUUGGAGUAUAAUUGCUUUACGAUGGUUCGUCUCAUGUUUAAAGAAGUCAUUUCUGCACCUUUUUACAAUUCAUGUAAUAGAUUGAUAUGGUCAAAUAUAUGCAUAUAAGUAAUUUAUAAAUCGGUAAAUAUACAUCUUCAGGGUAUAGGUAUAUUCAAAGAUUUUCCUGGAGGAGGGAUAGACAGUUCAAAUGUUUGGAGGCCACCGUGUCCGUGGACACGUGCGGACAGCACGGCCCACUACACUAACACCCUGCUUUUGCCCCAAGGAGGCGGGAGAUGCGGGGCCUUGCAGACAGGUGGCUGCUGUUCAGACGGGUGGGCGCCCAGGAUGCCACCUCGCACACCAGGGCCUGCGCAUCACAGCAGGCUGCCUCUAGGCCCCGAGCUUGCACAGCUGACAACUAAAGUGUCAGGGCCCCUCAGGAGAGCUUCGGUGGGUACAAGCCCCCAGAGUGAGGCUUCACAGCCCAGUCCAUCCUCAUCUGGCUUUGCUUCUUCCUCCAGAGAAGGUAAUCAACCUCCUGCACAAACGUCUUUUCUUUUUUUCUCCCUACAAAUAGAUCCAUCGAGAUCAAACUUCAAAAAAAAAGAGCUAGUUUGCCUUCACAUAAGGAAGAAGAAAGAAUGACCAAAAGUAGAAUUUGGGUGUGUCUUCUGUCUGUGACCAGGCUUCCCUGGUCUGGGGUUUGAGCCUCGUCUUAGACGCUGGUGAGAGCUGGAUGGAACCCCCUUGUGAAGAAAGGCUUACGGGAAGGGGGGGACCACAGGACACCUGUUGGGGUUUUGACCAGAUGCUUCAGAUGUGGAUCAACUGAGGGGAACUGACGUCUUGACAAUAUUGAGUCUUCCAGCUCACGAGCAAGGUGUGUCUCUGCACUAAUACAGGACUUGAAUUUCCUCAGCAAAGUAGUGUGGGUCUUACGUACCUGUGUCAGACUUAGUUGUGAGUUUGAUGCCAUUGCAAAUGGUGAUGUGUUUUUAGUUAAAAUCUCCAACUGUUCCUCAUUCGUUGCAGUGCAGUCACCUCCCUGUGUCCGCGGGUGAUGCGUUCCAGGGCCCCUGAGGGCACCCAAAUCCAAGGACGCUCAAAUUUCUCUAUCAAAUGUUUGCGUAUAACCUACACACAUCCUCCCAUAGACUUUAAAUCAUCUCUAGAUUGCUUGUAAUGCCUGCUACAAUGUAAAUGUUAUAUAAAUACUUGUAAAUACAAUGCUACGUAUAUAGGUCCCAGGAUGUGGAAAAUUCAAGUUUUGCUUUUGGGAACUUUCUGAAAUUAAAUAUAUGUAUUUGAUCUGUGGUUGGUUGGAUCUGAGGGUGCUGGACAUGCAGAUAUGAAAGGUUGACUGUGUAUAGAAAUGCAUUUGAUAUUUCAUACUGACCUUGUACCCUGCACCCCUACUUUUACUUGUUAAUUCUUGAAUCUUUUUACUUAGAGUUCACUAGAUUUUCUGCGUAGGUGAUUAUGUUGUCUGCAAAUAAGACAGGUUUAGUUCUUCCUUUCUCAUCUGGGGCCAUUUGAUUUCUUUUUCUUUCCCUGAUGGGUUGCUGGGACCCCCCCCAUUACAAUAGUGAGUACAAGUGGUGAAAGUCAUGUCCUUGUCUUAUUCUUGAUCUCAGGAAUACAACUGUCAGCAUUUCACCGUUAUGUGCACUUUAUCAGAGUGAAGAAAUUUCUCUCCUAUUCCCAGUUUACUGUGAAGCUGUAUUUUGUAAAAUACUUCUGUGUCCAUUGAGAUCAUCGUGUGGUUUUUCUUUUUAGUUUAUUGUAAUAUGGUAAAAUACAUCGAUUGAUUUUUGAAUAUUAAACCAACCUUGCAUUCCUGGGUUAAGCCUCACUUAGUCAUAAUGUAUGUGUAUGUAUAUGCAUAUAUAAAAACAUAGAUGUAAAUAUUCUAGACAAAAUGUCAGCCAAUCAAAUACAAUAUACACAUAAUAUUGGAGAGCACACAUAUUAUUAUAUAUUGGAUUUGAUUUGCUCAGAUUUUAUUUAGAACAUUUACAUCUAUAUUCAUGAGAGAUAUUGGUAUAUUUCUUUUUCUUUUGUUUUUUUUGCGGUACGCGGGCCUCUCACUGUUGUGGCCUCUCCCGUUGUGGAGCACAGGCUCCGGACGUGCAGGCUCAGCGGCCAUGGCUCACGGGCCCAGCCGCUCCCCGGCAUGUGGGAUCUUCCUGGACCGGGGCACGAACCCGUGUCCCCUGCGUCGGCAGGCGGACUCCCAACCACUGCGCCACCAGGGAAGCCCUCUUGUAAUGUUUUUACAUAGUUUUGAUAUCAGGAUAACACUAGCCUCAAAGCUCACGUCUCCCCCGCCACCGACGGCAGCUGCUCCCCGAAGAUGAGAUGGGUUUCUGCCCUCAUCCCUCAAGAGGCCCCUUUUUUCCGUCACUAAGGUUUUUCAAGCAGGAAAGAUACACGAUGAAGUGCAGUUUUACGGUUUCAUAUCAUAUUUGUGUUUUCCAAGAAACGUUCAAUAAGAUGUUCCUCCUCGCUUACAGAAUAUUCCUUUAAUCAGUUCCUUGGAAGAACCACGGGGCUGUAUUUAAAAUUUAUUUCUGGAUAUUUACUUAAGGAUAAUUGCAAAGAAGAUUGGCCCAAAGAAAACGUGAGCAUUUGUCAGAGGGCAGUAUUGUGCUUUCUUUCCUGCUUCUACGUCUGUUCGUAAGUCCCUACUUCUGGCCUCGACGUCAUGUGACAUCAAGGCCACAGACUGGAAGGCUGGGGCUUAGAAGACGUAGCUUCAAAGGCUUCCUCGGGCUUCACCCGGCCAGGACGUCUUGCAGUGACCCCUAACCUCGCUGGGCCAGGACCCUCCUUUGUCAAAGAACCAGGCUGGCGAGGGGGCCGGCAUCCUGGUCCACAGUCUGUGGUCCUGAGCUUCCUGCCAUCAUGACCCGUGUGACUCUAGUAUAGAGUCGGCAUAAGGCCGAGCGUGUACUAUUGGCUAAAAGAAAAUAACACUUCUGGGCCUGUGAUAACGUGGGCUUUGCUUUCCAAGGUGUGGAACUACCUUGGGACAGCAGGAGGGGCCCCGGGCAGAAAGCCGUGUCCUAACAGGGGUGAUGAAAGACAUGGGGUCCUUCAGCAAAGAACCACCCGCUUAGGACCAGGUCUUGUUUUGUCGCCUGUAAUUUAUCUUCCAAUAGGUCCACUGGGGAAGAAACAAUCAACCAGGGGCCUUGACCCCAGGGGGCGGUUGUCAGGCCCUCUUUGUGUCGGGGGUGUCGUCAGGCAGGAAUAUCUGCAAAUCACUGUGUUUGUUGAUCCUGUAACACAGAGCUGACGCUCAGUCUACAAGCAGCUGGAUGAGCACGUGGCCCCGGGGAAGCACCUCUUUGGGUUCCAGGAACCAGAAGUAGAGACCGGACCUGCUGGAGUCGCCCCGAAGGAGCCAGCCGUGUGGACCUACCAGGGCCCGAGGCGCCGGCCCCUCUUCAUGGGGACCCUUCUCGGCCAGGUCUUCCUGUGCAGGGAGCAGAGACCCCAGGUUGCUCUUGGCCUCGUGUGGCCGUGACUUCAGGUGUCUGUGCAAUUCCGUGGAAUGUCUGAGACCCAGACUCCCUUCCGCCAGCUGCCCGUUUGUGCGCAACCUCUCGAGACCUCCGUGCAUUUCCAGAGCGUGUGUGAGGGCUGUGAGGGGUCGUCACCGCACCAGCUGUUCGCGGCUUCUCUGUAUAAACCUUCCGUGUUUGUCAAGCAGCUGAGCGGAGGGGACCAGCCACUCCCUGCAGAGCUUUCCGCCUUUGGAACGUGUUCCCCACCUACUCACAUAGGGUCUCCUGCCCUGCUUCCUCCUUCUGGCUCCCGCGGCAGCUGGGGGCUGUGAAAUGCGUCCUUUAUUCCAGCUGCCUCUCCGGUCUGUGGCUGAAAGGCAGGGGCCCUGCUCUGUCCAGGGAGCUGGGGAUACCGCACCAGGCAAUCACCUUCCAGCUGUGAGUUUUCCAGAAAAUCAGAGGUGCAGAGAGCAGAGGGCCUGACUCGGAGGCCUUGGCGGAGUGGAAAGGGGUUCUGGUUAAACACGAGCAGCCCUGGGAACAAGUCUAAUUCUGCCACCGACACUGUGUGUCUUCAGGCCAGCGCGGCCACCUCUCUGGGCCUUCAGUUUCCUCAUCUGCGAAAAGAAUAGCACUUACUGAACGAUUUCUAAACUUGUCCCCCAGCACAAGUGUAUUAUGAUCCUUUAGCUUGAGACAUGGGAUUUGCCGUGUGGAAAGCAGACUUGAAACUGGGGUUUAAGCAGAUCUGCGGGCACUGCGUCUGGAUCUAGCGGAUUGGGCAGCCCCUACACCCACCGCACAUGGUCUCCCAGCAGCUCAUGCCCCACCCCGUCCCCUGACCCAGUCAGGGCCUUGCUCUGAGUCUCUGCUCACAGGCCAGGGACAACUGAGGAGCUUAGGGGCCCGAGGGGAACAGCUGGGCUCGCAGGAGAGGUACGUGCCCUGUGCACUGCUGCACAGAGUGUAGCGUUUGAAAAGAGGUACAUCAAAUCUAUUUAAAUGGGUUACAUUAGUAAAUUAGAAUUCUUGACAAUCGCAAUCAACAUCAAAAGGAAAUUGUCUUAAUUGUUCCAUUUAAAUGAUAAAGUGCUAUUUUUACACAGUGAAAAAGCGCCUAGUGUAAUAGUUAAACUCUUGAUCCUUUGUUAGUUUGAGCCUGUUUGUAUUAAUUGGGAACUUCACAGGUAUCGUUAAUAAACAAAAGAUAACUUUAAAUAAACAUCUAGAACGA
Long non-coding RNA from Orcinus orca (killer whale), 4891 nucleotides. RefSeq lists it as uncharacterized. Lineage: Eukaryota; Metazoa; Chordata; Mammalia; Artiodactyla; Delphinidae. The record is from RefSeq and is a predicted model, not a curated record. The transcript has 2 exons.